AGUGAACGCUGGCGGUAGGCCUAACACAUGCAAGUCGAACGGCAGCACAGUAAGAGCUUGCUCUUACGGGUGGCGAGUGGCGGACGGGUGAGGAAUACAUCGGAAUCUACUUUUUCGUGGGGGAUAACGUAGGGAAACUUACGCUAAUACCGCAUACGUCCUACGGGUGAAAGCAGGGGAUCUUCGGACUUUGCGCGAUUGAAUGAGCCGAUGUCGGAUUAGCUAGUUGGCGGGGUAAAGGCCCACCAAGGCGACGAUCCGUAGCUGGUCUGAGAGGAUGAUCAGCCACACUGGAACUGAGACACGGUCCAGACUCCUACGGGAGGCAGCAGUGGGGAAUAUUGGGCAAUGGGCGCAAGCCUGAUCCAGCCAUACCGCGUGAGUGAAGAAGGCCUUCGGGUUGUAAAGCCCUUUUGUUGGGAAAGAAAAGCAGCAGGUUAAUACCCCGCUGUUCUGACGGUACCCAAAGAAUAAGCACCGGCUAACUUCGUG
Molecule: ribosomal RNA, 492 nt
Filed under: uncultured bacterium
Lineage: Bacteria
Description: partial 16S ribosomal RNA
Rfam family: Bacterial small subunit ribosomal RNA
Source: RNAcentral